RNAcentral lists this unclassified non-coding RNA (269 nucleotides) under plant metagenome. RNAcentral's name for it is "partial contains small subunit ribosomal RNA, internal transcribed spacer 1, and 5.8S ribosomal RNA". The record is from RNAcentral.
UUUCCGUAGGUGAACCUGCGGAAGGAUCAUUAAUGAGUUGUCAUGGGGUUCGAUGCUGGCAGCCAAUUUUUGGAUGCAUGUGCUUGCCCUAACAAUCAUCUUCCAAACACCUGUGCACAUUUUUGAGGGAGUCUUGAGUUGGUUGCCGCUCUUGGGUGAUUUUCUCGCAUUCCCUUAAAUCAUUAUACGCUAUUAACAAUGUUGAACGUGCUCUGUGCCGCAAGGCUAUUAAUAUAAUACAACUUUUAACAACGGAUCUCUUGGCUCUC